AACGAACGCUGGCGGCAUGCCUAACACAUGCAAGUCGAACGAGACCUUCGGGUCUAGUGGCGCACGGGUGCGUAACGAGUGGGAACCUGCCCUUAGGUUCGGAAUAACUCCCCGAGAGGGGUGCUAAUACCGGAUAAUGUCUUCGGACCAAAGAUUUAUCGCCUUUGGAUGGGCCCGCGUUGGAUUAGCUAGUUGGUAGGGUAAAAGCCUACCAAGGCGACGAUCCAUAGCUGGUCUGAGAGGAUGAUCAGCCACACUGGGACUGAGACACGGCCCAGACUCCUACGGGAGGCAGCAGUGGGGAAUAUUGGACAAUGGGCGAAAGCCUGAUCCAGCAAUGCCGCGUGAGUGAUGAAGGCCUUAGGGUUGUAAAGCUCUUUUACCCGGGAUGAUAAUGACAGUACCGGGAGAAUAAGCUCCGGCUAACUCCGUG
RNAcentral lists this ribosomal RNA (433 nucleotides) under uncultured bacterium. RNAcentral's name for it is "partial 16S ribosomal RNA". It matches the Rfam family "Bacterial small subunit ribosomal RNA", at positions 29 to 507 of the family's 1533-position model. The record is from RNAcentral.